This 270-nucleotide ribosomal RNA is filed under the name uncultured archaeon. Its description in RNAcentral is "partial 16S ribosomal RNA". It matches the Rfam family "Archaeal small subunit ribosomal RNA", at positions 477 to 747 of the family's 1478-position model. The record is from RNAcentral.
CUGCAGCUCAAGUGGUGACCGCUAUUAUUGGGCCUAAAACGUUCGUAGCCGGUUUGGUAAAUGCCUGGGUAAAUCGUGUAGCUUAACUAUACGAAUUCCGGAUAGACUGCCAAACUUGAGACCGGGGGAGGCUAGAGGUACUCCUGGGGUAGAGGUGAAAUUCUGUAAUCCUAGGGGGACCACCAGUGGCGAAGGCGUCUAGCUAGAACGGGUCUGACGGUGAGGGACGAAGCCCUGGGGCACAAACCGGAUUAGAGACCCGAGUAGUCC